RNAcentral lists this long non-coding RNA (829 nucleotides) under Homo sapiens (human). RNAcentral describes it as "HSALNT0312261". Lineage: Eukaryota; Metazoa; Chordata; Mammalia; Primates; Hominidae. The record is from RNAcentral.
AAAAGACAUGCAAUACAUUUAAUACGUUAAUAAUCAUUACUGAUUCUGCUUAUAAUGUUUCUGAUCCUGAGCACUCUGGGCAAGAGCUUUAUCUCAUGGACUAUGAGAUUUUUGUUUGUGUGCAGAAUGCUUCCUUUUUGUUUUUUUCUAGGGAGUCCUCCAUAAACCCCACCUAGUGCUCAUCAGUUUUAGGUCCCUAAUUGCAGCCAUAGGGCCGUGGGCGAGGGAGAUCCCGGCUAAAUCAGCCACUUUACGUGCUUCGGUUCUGUCCUUUAAUACUUAAAGUGGCUCAGUAAGUUUGGGCUCAGAGACUUGGAUUUUAUUUCUGAAUUUUCCUUAGACUGGCCAAUUAACUUUAACUUACCUAACUUCUCUGGUGAUCAUCUGCCUCAAGUGUAAAAUGGGAAUUGGCUAAAGGAUUAAAUGAUACUCAGUAAUGUUUGGAACUGAGGGGCCUUAUAGCCAAGCAAAAUGUUCCUUGUCCUGGAACUGUAGAAUGUAGUGGGGAGAUUUCAGGGUCUAUGCCAUUCUCUUGGCCACCCCGGUAUGAUUUUCAAGGGCUUUUAUUACAGCCUAGAGGAGCUCUUGACUGGGGAACGUUAAGCAUCCUUUGGGAGUGGUGGGGGUGGGAAGAAUACCACAGGACUGGUGGCACUAUCUUACUACUUUAUGUACUUGCUUUCCUUUCUUCCCCACUGACUGGACAUUUUGGUCAUUAUUUAUUUAUUAUCAUUUGUUUGUUAUUUUUUUAGAGAUAGAGUUUUACUCCCACCCAGGCUGGAGUGCAGUGGUGCGAUCAUAGCUCACUAUAGCCUCCACCUCCUAGGCC